This 66-nucleotide transfer RNA is filed under the name Indonemoura nohirae. Its description in RNAcentral is "tRNA-Gly". It matches the Rfam family "tRNA". Rfam says of the family: Transfer RNA (tRNA) molecules are approximately 80 nucleotides in length. Their secondary structure includes four short double-helical elements and three loops (D, anti-codon, and T loops). Lineage: Eukaryota; Metazoa; Arthropoda; Insecta; Plecoptera; Nemouridae. The record is from RNAcentral.
AUUUAUUUAGUAUAAGAGUAUAUUUGACUUCCAAUCAGAAGGACUAAACCAAGUUUAGAAUAAAUA